CCUCCAGCAUGUUGUCAUCAUUCCAACCAGAAAUUGGCACAAAUGCUACUGUGUUGGGGUUGUAGCCAAUUUUCUUAAUGUAAGUGCUGACUUCCUUAACGAUUUCCUCAUAUCUCUUCUGGCUGCAGGGUGGCUCAGUGGAAUCCAUUUUGUUAACACCAACAAUUAGUUGUUUCACAUCCAGUGUGUAAGCCAGAAGGGCAUGCUCACUGGUCUGCCCAUUCUUGGAGAUACCAGCUUCAAAUUCACCAACACCAGCAGCAACAAUCAGGACAGCACAGUCAACCUGAGAUGUCCCUGUAAUCACGUUUUUGAUUAAGAGAG
RNAcentral lists this long non-coding RNA (324 nucleotides) under Homo sapiens (human). RNAcentral's name for it is "HSALNT0408195". Lineage: Eukaryota; Metazoa; Chordata; Mammalia; Primates; Hominidae. The record is from RNAcentral.